RNAcentral lists this ribosomal RNA (526 nucleotides) under uncultured bacterium. Its description in RNAcentral is "bacterial SSU rRNA". It matches the Rfam family "Bacterial small subunit ribosomal RNA", at positions 984 to 1517 of the family's 1533-position model. The record is from RNAcentral.
ACAUCGUGCGCAUAGCUUAGAGAUAAGCGAAGUCCUUCAGGACGCACAGACAGGUGGUGCAUGGUUGUCGUCAGCUCGUGUCGUGAGAUGUUGGGUUAAGUCCCGCAACGAGCGCAACCCUUGUAUUCAGUUGCUACGCAAGAGCACUCUGGAUAGACUGCCGUUGAUAAAACGGAGGAAGGUGGGGAUGACGUCAAAUCAUCAUGCCCCUUAUGACCUGGGCAACACACGUACUACAAUGGCGUAUAACAGAGGGAAGCAAGACAGCGAUGUGGAGCAAACCCCUAAAAUGCGUCUCAGUUCAGAUUGCAGGCUGCAACUCGCCUGCAUGAAGUCGGAAUUGCUAGUAAUCGCGGAUCAGCAUGCCGCGGUGAAUACGUUCCCGGGCCUUGUACACACCGCCCGUCACACCAUGGGAGCCGGUAACACCCGAAGUCAGUAGCCUGACCGCAAGGAGGGCGCUGCCGAAGGUGGGAUUGGUGACUGGGGUGAAGUCGUAACAAGGUAGCCGUAUCGGAAGGUGCGG